GAUGAACGCUGGCGGCGUGCCUAAUACAUGCAAGUCGAGCGAACAGACGAGGAGCUUGCUCCUCUGACGUUAGCGGCGGACGGGUGAGUAACACGUGGAUAACCUACCUAUAAUACUGGGAUAACUUCGGGAAACCGGAGCUAAUACCGGAUAAUAUAUUGAACCGCAUGGUUCAAUAGUGAAAGACGGUUUUGCUGUCACUUAUAGAUGGAUCCGCGCCGCAUUAGCUAGUUGGUAAGGUAACGGCUUACCAAGGCAACGAUGCGUAGCCGACCUGAGAGGGUGAUCGGCCACACUGGAACUGAGACACGGACCAGACUACUACGGGAGGCAGCAGUAGGGAAUGUUCCGCAAUGGGCGAAAGCAUGACGGAGCAAAGCCGCGUGAGUGAUGAAGGUCUUCGGAUCGUAAAACUCUGUUAUUAGGGAAGAACAAAUGUGUAAGUAAAUAUGCACGUCUUGACGGUACCUAAUCAGAAAGCCACGGCUAACUACGUG
This 497-nucleotide ribosomal RNA is filed under the name uncultured bacterium. Its description in RNAcentral is "partial 16S ribosomal RNA". It matches the Rfam family "Bacterial small subunit ribosomal RNA", at positions 28 to 507 of the family's 1533-position model. The record is from RNAcentral.